This 661-nucleotide ribosomal RNA is filed under the name Staphylococcus aureus. Its description in RNAcentral is "partial 23S ribosomal RNA". It matches the Rfam family "Bacterial large subunit ribosomal RNA", at positions 258 to 918 of the family's 2925-position model. Lineage: Bacteria; Bacillati; Bacillota; Bacilli; Caryophanales; Staphylococcaceae. The record is from RNAcentral.
ACGGGAAGAGCCCAAACCAACAAGCUUGCUUGUUGGGGUUGUAGGACACUCUAUACGGAGUUACAAAGGACGACAUUAGACGAAUCAUCUGGAAAGAUGAAUCAAAGAAGGUAAUAAUCCUGUAGUCGAAAAUGUUGUCUCUCUUGAGUGGAUCCUGAGUACGACGGAGCACGUGAAAUUCCGUCGGAAUCUGGGAGGACCAUCUCCUAAGGCUAAAUACUCUCUAGUGACCGAUAGUGAACCAGUACCGUGAGGGAAAGGUGAAAAGCACCCCGGAAGGGGAGUGAAAUAGAACCUGAAACCGUGUGCUUACAAGUAGUCAGAGCCCGUUAAUGGGUGAUGGCGUGCCUUUUGUAGAAUGAACCGGCGAGUUACGAUUUGAUGCAAGGUUAAGCAGUAAAUGUGGAGCCGUAGCGAAAGCGAGUCUGAAUAGGGCGUUUAGUAUUUGGUCGUAGACCCGAAACCAGGUGAUCUACCCUUGGUCAGGUUGAAGUUCAGGUAACACUGAAUGGAGGACCGAACCGACUUACGUUGAAAAGUGAGCGGAUGAACUGAGGGUAGCGGAGAAAUUCCAAUCGAACCUGGAGAUAGCUGGUUCUCUCCGAAAUAGCUUUAGGGCUAGCCUCAAGUGAUGAUUAUUGGAGGUAGAGCACUGUUUGGA